UACUAAAUGUGGCAAUGGUGGGAGUGAAUGUGUGUUAGAAACAACAAGUCACUUCACAACUAAGGAGGUAAGUAGUUUGAAAACUAACAAAUAAUUAACUUUUACAUCGGAUUGUGUGGUAAUAUAAAAAAUGAUUAUUUGUUUGCACAGGUAUUUAUGAAUCGAAAUGAAUUAAUUAAUUGGACUCGUGCAGAAGGAAGAAAGUGUGGAAUAGUUGUUGUAAUCAGGAGGUCUGAUUUUCCAGGGAAUUGUAGAUUACGAAGAGGGCGAAUAGUUUUUGGUUGUGAGAGAGGUGGUUGUUAUCAAAAGAAUAGCGUAGACUCAACAUCUUUACAAAAGAAGAAGCAUGAUGCGAGUUUGAAUCCUAAAAAGAAGAAGCGUCAUAGGAGUGGCGGUACAAAAAGGUGUGGUUGCCCN
Molecule: long non-coding RNA, 417 nt
Filed under: Fragaria vesca (wild strawberry)
Lineage: Eukaryota; Viridiplantae; Streptophyta; Magnoliopsida; Rosales; Rosaceae
Description: long non-coding RNA (FVES_LNC003065)
Source: RNAcentral